RNAcentral lists this long non-coding RNA (506 nucleotides) under Nicotiana tabacum (common tobacco). Its description in RNAcentral is "long non-coding RNA (NTAB_LNC014974)". The record is from RNAcentral. Lineage: Eukaryota; Viridiplantae; Streptophyta; Magnoliopsida; Solanales; Solanaceae.
UUGUGUAAAAUGAUUUUAGCAUAUUAUAAAAAAGGAAAUACAAACUCAGAACUGGAAAGAAAGACCUCAGAAUAACAGAAGAUGGUCAUCGAUCACCAAAUUAAACAUGAAAAUUUGUAGGUAGAGAUAUUUGUUAAUAACAAUAAGGGGAAAUAGUGAAAUUCUAAAGGGAGAUGAAACCUUCGCGGACGAGGAGACCAAACAUGAGAGUCAGAAGACCCGUAGUUAUGCUUUGCGUUGGAGUCAUCCAUGGCUGAGAAUAAGCGCCCAACGUAAAGGCAGCGCCCACCAUUCCGAUCAAGAACGCGCUCAUAUUCUGAUUCAUUUUUCUUGAGAUCUUACUCUCUCUAUUUCUUUGCAAUUUCUGCUUCUGAAAAACGAUCGUUGAAUAAAAGGAGACAACUAAUUGCAUCAAUAAGUAAACAACCACACAGUUCUCUCAAAGGCCAAAGUCAACUCUACCUUGGGGAGAUGAAUCCGUUUUUGUUUAUUAUUGAUGUGACUAU